RNAcentral lists this ribosomal RNA (280 nucleotides) under uncultured Prevotella sp. RNAcentral describes it as "partial 16S ribosomal RNA". It matches the Rfam family "Bacterial small subunit ribosomal RNA", at positions 355 to 634 of the family's 1533-position model. The record is from RNAcentral. Lineage: Bacteria; Pseudomonadati; Bacteroidota; Bacteroidia; Bacteroidales; Prevotellaceae.
GGAGGAAUAUUGGUCAAUGGGCGAGAGCCUGAACCAGCCAAGUAGCGUGCAGGACGACGGCCCUAUGGGUUGUAAACUGCUUUUAUACGGGAAUAAAGUGAUGCCUGCGGGCGUUAUUGCAUGUACCGUACGAAUAAGGACCGGCUAAUUCCGUACCAGCAGCCGCGGUAAUACGGAAGGUCCGGGCGUUAUCCGGAUUUAUUGGGUUUAAAGGGAGCGUAGGCCGUGCUUUAAGCGUGUUGUGAAAUGUAGCGCUCAACGCUGCACUGCAGCGCGAACU